AAAAAUGAAGGGCCUUAGCUAGGGUUCAACGACGGAUAAAAAAUUGCGCCAGCCGGUAUGCAUUUAGCGAGAGAACAUCGACGGAAACUAUAUUGUGGGUACGCGCGUUUUGUUUUUUCUAUCGCCAAUCUCUAGCUGAAAUUGGCAUAACCCAGUUCCAUCUUCACGAAAUGCAUUGAAAAUUCUGGUACGCGUUUCCCCUGGACUCUGGACAUGAAUUUUGAACAGAUGAUGGCAUAGAAGUUCCUUCAAUCUAUUAACCCACUUCCAUCUCACAAUCUCUGUUUGAACAGAUGACGAUGACGGCACUACUCACCCAAUUCCGGCAACCUCCGUAUUUUUAAGCUGAAAGUAUUCUUCCUUAGCUUUCGGAUUCAGGUAAAUCUCAUCCCUAUUAGGUUAGUUUUAGUUCAAUUGCACAAUAUACUUUGUUAGGGUUUAAUUUCUCAUUUUUUCUUUUUCAAUCAAUGUCCCUCUUAUCUCUCAGCAUUAUAUACAUGAAUAACCUUGAAAGUUAGAAUUAGAACUUGAUUUAGGGCUUGAUUCAUCAUAGUUUGUCAUCCAAUUUAUGAGAAUUUAAGGAUUCAGGAACACCAGUAGCCAAAACCUUUAGGUUUUCCCCAAUUCUCUUUCAUAUUUAGGAGGUGGUCUCUCUGAUAAGUCCUAUUCCCUUUUGAGGUCUUGAAGUUGAUGUGGUCUCUCUGAUAAGUGCUAUUCCCUUAUGAGGUCUUGAAGUUGAUGUGGUCUUGAAUCAUGAUGUUGACUUCUACUGCCAGUUGCUGCUUCACUUGGAGCCAUGUUAAGGCCAGUGGUACUUGUCACAGGAGCAAUAGCAGCAUAUACAGAUUUUGAAGCCAACACUCUCAUCUUCAUGCAUCUAUCUCUCAUCAAACCAUGUUUCAUCUUAUGCCCUUGCAUCCACACAUUUUCACAGAUCCUCUCAAGGGCACAGAAUCAUAAUCUUCUUCUUCUACUUCAUAGAAAAUUAC
RNAcentral lists this long non-coding RNA (989 nucleotides) under Lactuca sativa (garden lettuce). Its description in RNAcentral is "long non-coding RNA (LSAT_LNC000213)". Lineage: Eukaryota; Viridiplantae; Streptophyta; Magnoliopsida; Asterales; Asteraceae. The record is from RNAcentral.